UUUUAGUGACUGAGUGGCGGACGGGUGAGUAACGCGUGGGUAACCUGCCUCACACAGGGGGAUAACAGUUGGAAACGGCUGCUAAUACCGCAUAAGCGCACAGUACCGCAUGGUACAGUGUGAAAAACUCCGGUGGUGUGAGAUGGACCCGCGUCUGAUUAGCUAGUUGGCAGGGCAACGGCCUACUAAGGCGACGAUCAGUAGCCGACCUGAGAGGGUGACCGGCCACAUUGGGACUGAGACACGGCCCAAACUCCUACGGGAGGCAGCAGUGGGGAAUAUUGCACAAUGGGGGAAACCCUGAUGCAGCGACGCAGCGUGAGCGAAGAAGUAUUUCGGUAUGUAAAGCUCUAUCAGCAGGGAAGAAGAAAUGACGGUACCUGACUAAGAAGCACCGGCUAAAUACGUGCCAGCAGCCGCGGUAAUACGUAUGGUGCAAGCGUUAUCCGGAUUUACUGGGGUGUAAAGGGAGCGCAGGCGGAAGGCUAAGUCUGAUGUGAAAGCCCGGGGCUCAACCCCGGUACUGCAUUGGAAACUGGUCAUCUAGAGUGUCGGAGGGGUAAGUGGAAUUCCUAGUGUAGCGGUGAAAUGCGUAGAUAUUAGGAGGAACACCAGUGGCGAAGGCGGCUUACUGGACGAUAACUGACGCUGAGGCUCGAAAGCGUGGGGAGCAAACAGGAUUAGAUACCCUGGUAGUCCA
RNAcentral lists this ribosomal RNA (700 nucleotides) under uncultured bacterium. RNAcentral's name for it is "bacterial SSU rRNA". It matches the Rfam family "Bacterial small subunit ribosomal RNA", at positions 82 to 797 of the family's 1533-position model. The record is from RNAcentral.